Long non-coding RNA from Ficedula albicollis (Collared flycatcher), 881 nucleotides. RefSeq lists it as uncharacterized. The transcript is spliced from 4 exons. Lineage: Eukaryota; Metazoa; Chordata; Aves; Passeriformes; Muscicapidae. The record is from RefSeq and is a predicted model, not a curated record.
GGGGGGCUGAGGCAGGCCCGGCAGGGCGGAGUGCAGCACCUGAGCUGGAAAUACAUCUGGAGAACGUACCACCUCACCUACAAUGGAGAGAAGCUGGCGGAUGACAGGAAGAAGCUGAGAGAGUAUGGCAUCAGGAACCGGGAUGAGGUCAGCUUCAUAAAGAAGCUUCGGAAGUAACCUGUGGGAGACAGCAGAGAAACCAGCCCUACCAAGACUAGAUUGUGGAUUCAGCACCUUCCUGGAGGAAAAGGUUGUUACAAUGCAAAGAGGAACAAACUCCAUUGACUGGACAUUCCCACGUUUUUUACAGUUGCUGUUUGUGGUGUUUGCCUCUGAGCUGUAUGUGGAUUCCAGGGAUUAAACAGACCCUCUAGUUUUCUGAGGCUUUUCAAGCUCUUGUUUCCAGCCGUGUCUGGCUGGUUUGGGUUCUCCACAGGGCACAUGAAGCAGCAGAAGUGAGAUUCAGUAACAAAGGUAGGCACAGACUACUCAGAACAAUUCACAGUAGCUAAAACGCUACCUCACUGUUUAAUCACCACCUUAGCAGUAGUAAACAACUCUGGUUAAAAAUGUAGUAUUGAAACUAGUGUAAUAAAAAUAAUGGCAGCAGAAAAGGUUCAAUACAAUUGAACAAGGCACAAACGUUCUGUUUUCAGAGUCUUCUGAGAUAAGGCAAACCAUGCCUGCCAAGUGCUAAGGAGACAGUUUAAAUUAACCACGGGCAGGGUUAGAAGUGUCAUUGGAUUAGAGGCUUUGUCCCCAUGGAACUGGCACAGCAUAUGCAAAGACAUUCCAUCUCCAGGGCCUGCUCGAGAAGGCAGCCUUUGCUGUCAGUGGAGCUGUGCAUCCAGGUCGUAUUUCUCGCAGAACUUGUCUGUGAA